CAUAAUACAUGCAGUCGAGCGGAAGAUGGGAGCUUGCGCCCCGAUGUUGACGAGGGACGGACGAGUGACAUAAUGUCUGGGAAGCCGCCCGAAGGAGGGGGAUAACUACUGGAAACGGUAGCUAAUACCGCAUAACGUCGCAAGACCAAAGUGGGGGACCUCCGGGCCUCACACCAUCGGAUGUGCCCAGAUGGGAUUAGCUUGUAGGCGGGGUAACGGCCCACCUAGGCGACGAUCCCUAGCUGGUCUGAGAGGAUGACCAGCCACACUGGAACUGAGACACGGUCCAGACUCCUACGGGAGGCAGCAGUGGGGAAUAUUGCACAAUGGGCGCAAGCCUGAUGCAGCCAUGCCGCGUGUAUGAAGAAGGCCUUCGGGUUGUAAAGUACUUUCAGCGGGGAGGAAGGUGCUGAGGUUAAUAACCUCAGCAAUUGACGUUACCCGCAGAAGAAGCACCGGCUAACUCCGUGCCAGCAGCCGCGGUAAUACGGAGGGUGCAAGCGUUAAUCGGAAUUACUGGGCGUAAAGCGCACGCAGGCGGUCUGUUAAGUCAGAUGUGAAAUCCCCGGGCUUAACCUGGGAACUGCAUUUGAAACUGGCAGGCUUGAGUCUCGUAGAGGGGGGUAGAAUUCCAGGUGUAGCGGUGAAAUGCGUAGAGAUCUGGAGGAAUACCGGUGGCGAAGGCGGCCCCCUGGACGAAGACUGACGCUCAGGUGCGAAAGCGUGGGGA
Molecule: ribosomal RNA, 730 nt
Filed under: Pantoea sp. NCCP-510
Lineage: Bacteria; Pseudomonadati; Pseudomonadota; Gammaproteobacteria; Enterobacterales; Erwiniaceae
Description: bacterial SSU rRNA
Rfam family: Bacterial small subunit ribosomal RNA
Source: RNAcentral